UACAAGCUACGAUGUACGUAUUCAAAUAAGUUUUAACCUCUAACAGAUGAAUAGGGAGUUUUAUAUCGGGACAGUAAUGUCGAGCCGUCAACAUGCAGCGGAAGACAGGAUGGUUUCUGCAAACACCCACUUGGAGAAGUGGUGGUUUAAAACUUUUUAUACUCAAUACGGCAAUUGUGGCCUGUAC
Molecule: non-coding RNA, 187 nt
Filed under: Virgibacillus indicus
Lineage: Bacteria; Bacillati; Bacillota; Bacilli; Caryophanales; Bacillaceae
Description: 6S / SsrS RNA
Rfam family: 6S / SsrS RNA
About the family: E. coli 6S RNA was the first non coding RNA to be sequenced, but its function was unknown until recently.
Source: Rfam by way of RNAcentral